Talpa occidentalis (Iberian mole) is the source of this 402-nucleotide long non-coding RNA. RefSeq lists it as uncharacterized. The transcript is spliced from 4 exons. The record is from RefSeq and is a predicted model, not a curated record. Lineage: Eukaryota; Metazoa; Chordata; Mammalia; Eulipotyphla; Talpidae.
GGAAGGCAAAGCUGAUUUUCAUCCAUUUGAUGCUGCCAUAACAAAAUAUCAUAAACUUGAUGACAGAAACAACAGAAACAUAUUUUCUAAUGAACCUAGAGGCUAGAAGUCUGAAAUCAGGAUGUCAACAUGGUGAGUUUCAGUCAGGUUCAGCCAAGGAGAGGAAGUAAUGGAGACUAGAAGGCAGGGAGAGGCCUGCAUUUCUCCCCACUUCUCUCUGCUUCAGGGAGCAUCUCCAGCAGGGCUCAUCUCCUUCGUGACUUCAGUGCUGCCAGGCCAGGCUCCCUGGGGCCAGCAGGUCAAAGAACAAUCACACCACUAUCGCCUGGAGGUGGAAAUCUCCCUGUUGGAUAGAAUUCCCCUUAUUGCUUUGGACAAGAUCAUUUCAGCAUAGUUAACAAG